This 237-nucleotide ribosomal RNA is filed under the name uncultured bacterium. RNAcentral's name for it is "partial 16S ribosomal RNA". It matches the Rfam family "Bacterial small subunit ribosomal RNA", at positions 96 to 334 of the family's 1533-position model. The record is from RNAcentral.
CGGCGGACGGGUGAGUAACGCGUGGGUAACCUGCCUCAUACAGGGGGAUAACAGUUAGAAAUGGCUGCUAAUACCGCAUAAGCACACAGCUUCGCAUGGUGCGGGGUAAAAACUCCGGUGGUAUGAGAUGGACCCGCGUCUGAUUAGCUAGUUGGUAAGGUAACGGCUUACCAAGGCGACGAUCAGUAGCCGACCUGAGAGGGUGACCGGCCACAUUGGGACUGAGACACGGCCCAA